Molecule: ribosomal RNA, 253 nt
Filed under: uncultured bacterium
Lineage: Bacteria
Description: partial 16S ribosomal RNA
Rfam family: Bacterial small subunit ribosomal RNA
Source: RNAcentral
AACGUAGGACGCAAGCGUUAUCCGGAGUUACUGGGCGUAAAGCGCGGGCAGGCGGUCUUGCCAGUCUGAUGUGAAAUCUCCUCGCUCAACGGGGAGCAGCCAUUGGAAACUACAAGACUGGAGUCUGGCAGAGGUAGGCGGAAUUCCGGGUGGAGUGGUGAAAUGCGUAGAGAUCGGGAAGAACAUCGGUGGCGAAGGCGGCCUGCUGGGCUGUUGCUGACGCUGAGGCGCGACAGCGUGGGGAGCAAACAGG